This 934-nucleotide long non-coding RNA is filed under the name Homo sapiens (human). RNAcentral describes it as "HSALNT0295904". Lineage: Eukaryota; Metazoa; Chordata; Mammalia; Primates; Hominidae. The record is from RNAcentral.
UGGGGUUACUGGAGUUCCAGUAGACUACGUGGCGGAGGCUGGAGCCCCCGCGCAGAGGGGAGCCGAGGAACGCGGCCCAGAGGACAGUCCGCAGCAGGGGCAGCAGCCGCAUCGCCCCCGAGGUCCGGUUUGGUCUGGCCUGGCAGGUCCCGGCCCGCUUCACAGUCGAGGAGAGAAAGGUGAGAAAACUGAUGCUUGGAGAUGUGAUCACUGCCCAGGGUCACCCAAUGAUAACAUGCAUGCAUAUGGAACUUGCUGCAUGCCAGCACCAUGUUCUCCUCAUCUAUCCCCAAACAUGGGCUUCCUUGAGGCACAGUCAUUCAACCAACCAGCCAGCAUUCAUUGAGCACCAUCUAUGUCCUGGGCACUGCUAGGGGAUGGUGAUAACAGGGAGAAGACUCUGUCCCUGCCUUCCAAUUGUGUAGAGGAAGACAUCCCCCUACAUGAUGGGUGAGACAUAGCAGAAGUGAGUAGGGGAUGAGGUGGGGGCUCAGAGGAGGGCAUGGUCAGCCUGUCUGGGAGGGAGUUGCAUGUGUGCAUCUGAGGUAGGGACAGGCAUGCAUCUUACAGGAUGAAUAUCGAGCAGAGUUACAGAGAGGGGGAAACUCCUUGAGGUUUCAGGAAUCACCUAAUCCACUGUGACUCACAAAUUCCUGCCUCUUGGCUUUGCCUGCAGCAUAUCUCCUGGAAGUGUGCUGGGGCAAAACUCAUCCCAGACCACCAUCUCCAUCCUCCCCCAAUACACCCUGGCUCUCCCUGGCUACCCUUGAGCACGGUGCACGUGUGCAUGGGUGCAUGCCUGCAUAUAUAGCUAUCCCCCAUGUAUUUCCCAAAGCCCUACAUAAUGCUUCAGUUUGCUAAGGAAAAAAUGUUAAUUACUGCAAAUGUGUUUAAAACUGUAAAAGUACAUUAAACAAACUCUGUAAAGUGUGAA